RNAcentral lists this unclassified non-coding RNA (240 nucleotides) under uncultured fungus. Its description in RNAcentral is "sequence contains ITS1, 5.8S rRNA gene". The stretch from base 192 to 240 matches the Rfam family "5.8S ribosomal RNA", at positions 1 to 49 of the family's 154-position model. Lineage: Eukaryota; Fungi. The record is from RNAcentral.
UUUCCGUUGGUGAACCAGCGGAAGGAUCAUUACAGAGAUCAUGCCCCUCGCGGGUAGACCUCCCACCCUGUGUUAUUUACGAUUGUUGCUUUGGCAGGUCGCCUUCGGCCACCGGCUUCGGCUGGUGCGUGCCUGCCAGAGGACCCCAAACUCUGAAUGUUAGUGUCGUCUGAGUACUAUAUAAUAGUUAAAACUUUCAACAACGGAUCUCUUGGUUCUGGCAUCGAUGAAGAACGCAGC